GGAUGUUCUGAAGACCUGCUCGCUAGGCCACGCACGGAGGACGCUGGUUCCUCACGGGCCCCGCGCCCGCCUAGGGGAAAGUCCCCGGACCGCCGGCAGAGAGUGCCGGGCGCUGCCGCGCCCCCGCCUGCCCCGCAGAUCACUGUGUCACCGCCGAGACGCCCCCGGGCCGAGCGGGUGAGGGCGGGGCGGGCUCUCGUCACGGCCACAGACACGCAGGUAGUGCGCAGGCGCACCAACAGAACGGGGCUCACUCUCAGGCCAUC
RNAcentral lists this RNase MRP RNA (266 nucleotides) under Strigops habroptila (Kakapo). RNAcentral's name for it is "RNase MRP (ENSSHBG00005013128.1)". It matches the Rfam family "RNase MRP". Rfam says of the family: RNase MRP is an enzymatically active ribonucleoprotein with two distinct roles in eukaryotes. Lineage: Eukaryota; Metazoa; Chordata; Aves; Psittaciformes; Psittacidae. The record is from Rfam by way of RNAcentral.